CACUCCUACGGGAGGUAGCAGUGGGGAAUAUUGGACAAUGGGCGCAAGCCUGAUCCAGCCAUGCCGCGUGAGUGAUGAAGGCCCUAGGGUUGUAAAGCUCUUUCACCGGUGAAGAUAAUGACGGUAACCGGAGAAGAAGCCCCGGCUAACUUCGUGCCAGCAGCCGCGGUAAUACGAAGGGGGCUAGCGUUGUUCGGAUUUACUGGGCGUAAAGCGCACGUAGGCGGACUAUUAAGUCAGGGGUGAAAUCCCGGGGCUCAACCCCGGAACUGCCUUUGAUACUGGUAGUCUUGAGUUCGAGAGAGGUGAGUGGAAUUCCGAGUGUAGAGGUGAAAUUCGUAGAUAUUCGGAGGAACACCAGUGGCGAAGGCGGCUCACUGGCUCGAUACUGACGCUGAGGUGCGAAAGCGUGGGGAGCAAACAGGAUUAGAUACCCCUGUAGUCCCAUGAU
This 451-nucleotide ribosomal RNA is filed under the name uncultured organism. RNAcentral describes it as "partial 16S ribosomal RNA". It matches the Rfam family "Bacterial small subunit ribosomal RNA", at positions 334 to 801 of the family's 1533-position model. The record is from RNAcentral.